GGAGGAAAAGAAACUAACAAGGAUUCCCCUAGUAACGGCGAGUGAAGCGGGAAGAGCUCAAACUGGAAACCUGUGCUUCUAGCGAGGCACCGGAUUGUAAUCUAGAGAAGUAAGGUCAGCGCGUGACCCGGAUAUAAAUCCCUUGGAAUGGGGUGUCAUAGAGGGUGAGAACCCCGUCUGUGAUCCGGCGCUCGCCGCGUACGAUCUGCUUUCGAAGAGUCGGGUUGUUUGGGACUGCAGCUCUAAUUGGGUGGUAAAUCUCAUCUAAAGCUAAAUAUCAGCCAGAGACCGAUAGCGAACAAGUACCGUGAGGGAAAGAUGAAAAGCACUUUGGAAAGAGAGUUAACAGUACGUGAAAUUGUUGGAAGGGAAACGCUUGAAGUCAGACUUGCUUGCCGAGCAAUCGGUUUGCAGGCCAGCAUCAGUUUUCCGGGAUGGAUAAUGGUAGAGAGAAGGUAGCAGUUUCGGCUGUGUUAUAGCUCUCUGCUGGAUACAUCUUGGGGGACUGAGGAACGCAGUGUGCCUUUGGCGGGGGUUUCGACCUCUUCACACUUAGGAUGCUGGUGGAAUGGCUUUAAACGACCCGUCUUGAAACACGGACC
RNAcentral lists this ribosomal RNA (602 nucleotides) under uncultured fungus. RNAcentral's name for it is "LSU rRNA". It matches the Rfam family "Eukaryotic large subunit ribosomal RNA", at positions 52 to 667 of the family's 3401-position model. Lineage: Eukaryota; Fungi. The record is from RNAcentral.